Molecule: ribosomal RNA, 333 nt
Filed under: Triticum aestivum (bread wheat)
Lineage: Eukaryota; Viridiplantae; Streptophyta; Magnoliopsida; Poales; Poaceae
Description: partial small subunit ribosomal RNA
Source: RNAcentral
AUGGCAGACACCGACAGCAGCAGCAACCCGCCGCUCGCCGACUCUGACUUCCCGCCCUUCGACCGCGUCGAGCCCACUCACGACGGCGAGCUGGAGGAUCUCGAGAAGGGCGUGGAGCCGGCGUGGGAGUGCUUGGUCCACCCGCUUGAGCGCAUCGUCGACAUGCUUGACAUCGUCUGGAACGUCGUCGACCACAUCAAGGCCGUCAAGGACUCUCCCGACCUACGUGCCGCCGUCGAGGACGUCCAGGAGUAUUCUGCUUGCUUUGGUUGCCAAACCAAAAUACCAUGGCUGGGUGACGUCCGUCUAUCCUGGGUUACAUUAGCAUACUAG